GGCUUUUCGUCUCUGUUCAGCGGGGAAGCAGCGAGGUUCCCUCCAGAUAGCGGUGAAGGGCGGCUUCCUAACUUUGUUUCCCAAGUCCCCUAACUUCGGAAUGCUUCUGCAUUGGUUCUUGCUCAGUGUCAUACCAGCGACUCCAAGAGUCAUGUCACCCACUUAGCAGGAGUACUUCUACUGAAAUGCCUUCGAAUUUCUCUUACUGGAUAUAUACCUACCAGCCGCUAGCAUGAAGAUGCCAGGACCGCUGCAAGUUAGCACUGGACAAAGUAGCAUCAACUUCUUCAUUUAGAGUUUCUUCAGUUAAAUUGCUGGGAUUUUCGACAAGGCUUUCCUUAUGUGGAUUAUUGGAGUGUGAUGCCCGAGAAUUCUCUACUUGUAGAAGCACGCCCACGGGACUGCAGAAGCCUUCACACCCACCCAGCACGCUCAGAUCAUCCAGUAACCAACCCAGGAAGUUCUUGUAAGCAUGCAUUUCUUAGUCAACACUGAAUGCCUUUAGACCGAGGUCAACCUUUUCAGCUGGUACCGUGGUUUACACUGCUGAAAGUACUGUCUUCAACCUUACCAAUGUCAGUGGCGGCGACGGUGGCGUCACCAUCACCAUCAGAGAAAAAGAAAUAUGCCUUUAUGUCAUGGUGGAACCAUCUAGGGAGGCCUGCCACUGUUUGCUGAGCUCCGGGUGAGGAUGAAGACACUUUGACAUGGCCAGCUUCAGACUCGGGAUCUGUCGGUGUUAGCAGCCGAAGGAGAAUGAGGAGGAAGAGGAGGAGAAAGAGGAGGAGGAAGUAAGACAGAGGGGGACAAGAGGACCAAGAGGGCACAUGGCUGAGGAGGAGGAGAACAACAACAACAACAACAACAACAACAACAACAAGAAGCUUGGUGUUUUCAGGAUGUGUUCCUGAGUCUCGUGAGUAGCACAUGGCAGUUGUUGUCACCUUGGGCUGAGCCGUGAAGAUUCUCACCCUCCCUUGUUGGGGAUGAACUCCGGGAUUCUAAGGAGAGGUCAGCAGGUGUUUCACAGACUGUUCCUGUUGGAGGAUUUGUCUGAUACUCUUCUCCUGAUUAGUCUGGGCUCUACAUUUCCCCAAGGGUGAAACUUGGAAGCCCUCUCCAGGAUGCAGCAGGUAGCUGAGGAGAAAACGAAGACUGACCAGCCCAGAGCUCAGAGCUUCCUCCCAUGCUCAGGAUUUACCACCAAUGCCAUUACAUCGGCCUCUUCUUGUAUGCCUCUGGAAACCACAUGUGUCCUCUGUUUGUAAUGGUUUGGCUAUGGUUGCUGGCCCCUCUUGGACAUUGUUUUCAGAACUUAAAGAAACAUUGCUUUAAAGAUUUAUUAGAACAUAUUUAAAAUAAAACCAUCUUC
This 1372-nucleotide long non-coding RNA is filed under the name Mus musculus (house mouse). RNAcentral's name for it is "RIKEN cDNA 2610307P16 gene". The record is from RNAcentral. Lineage: Eukaryota; Metazoa; Chordata; Mammalia; Rodentia; Muridae.